AAGACCAUCCCAUUCGGAUUGCAGGCUGCAACCCGCCUGUAUGAAGUUGGAAUCGCUAGUAAUCGCGGAUCAGCAUGCCGCGGUGAAUACGUUCCCGGGCCUUGUACACACCGCCCGUCACACCAUGAGAGUCGGGAACACCCGAAGUCCGUAGCCUAACCGCAAGGGGGGCGCGGCCGAAGGUGGGUUCGAUAAUUGGGGUGAAGUCGUAACAAGGUAUC
Molecule: ribosomal RNA, 221 nt
Filed under: uncultured bacterium
Lineage: Bacteria
Description: partial 16S ribosomal RNA
Rfam family: Bacterial small subunit ribosomal RNA
Source: RNAcentral